UUAAACCUGCAGUGUACGAUAUUCAAGAACACAAAUUGUAUCCACAAAUUUAAGAAAGGGAGCGGACGUCCAAAUGGCAAUACGCAAAGCCUGUGGUUGUGUCACCGACAGACCUAUAUGACAGGAAGACGGAAGUGUCAGGCUAUGCACCCACCUGCAAAAACGCGGGUUAAAUUUUGUUCUUAGUCGGCACAGGCGGGGAAAAU
This 206-nucleotide non-coding RNA is filed under the name Clostridiales bacterium. RNAcentral's name for it is "6S RNA". It matches the Rfam family "6S / SsrS RNA". Rfam says of the family: E. coli 6S RNA was the first non coding RNA to be sequenced, but its function was unknown until recently. Lineage: Bacteria; Bacillati; Bacillota; Clostridia; Eubacteriales. The record is from RNAcentral.